UGGGUACGGGCAGACUAGAGUGCGGUAGGGGAGAUUGGAAUUCCUGGUGUAGCGGUGGAAUGCGCAGAUAUCAGGAGGAACACCGAUGGCGAAGGCAGAUCUCUGGGCCGUAACUGACGCUGAGGAGCGAAAGGGUGGGGAGCAAACAGGCUUAGAUACCCUGGUAGUCCACCCCGUAAACGUUGGGAACUAGUUGUGGGGACCAUUCCACGGUUUCCGUGACGCAGCUAACGCAUUAAGUUCCCCGCCUGGGGAGUACGGCCGCAAGGCUAAAACUCAAAGGAAUUGACGGGGACCCGCACAAGCGGCGGAGCAUGCGGAUUAAUUCGAUGCAACGCGAAGAACCUUACCAAGGCUUGACAUAUACGAGAACGGGCCAGAAAUGGUCAACUCUUUGGACACUCGUAAACAGGUGGUGCAUGGUUGUCGUCAGCUCGUGUCGUGAGAUGUUGGGUUAAGUCCCGCAACGAGCGCAACCCUCGUUCUAUGUUGCCAGCACGUAAUGGUGGGAACUCAUGGGAUACUGCCGGGGUCAACUCGGAGGAAGGUGGGGAUGACGUCAAAUCAUCAUGCCCCUUAUGUCUUGGGCUUCACGCAUGCUACAAUGGCCGGUACAAAGGGCUGCAAUACCGUAAGGUGGAGCGAAUCCCAAAAAGCCGGUCCCAGUUCGGAUUGAGGUCUGCAACUCGACCUCAUGAAGUCGGAGUC
RNAcentral lists this ribosomal RNA (708 nucleotides) under Microbacterium sp. PCSM62. RNAcentral's name for it is "bacterial SSU rRNA". It matches the Rfam family "Bacterial small subunit ribosomal RNA", at positions 627 to 1333 of the family's 1533-position model. The record is from RNAcentral. Lineage: Bacteria; Bacillati; Actinomycetota; Actinomycetes; Micrococcales; Microbacteriaceae.